RNAcentral lists this long non-coding RNA (830 nucleotides) under Rattus norvegicus (Norway rat). Its description in RNAcentral is "long non-coding RNA NONRATT004039". The record is from RNAcentral. Lineage: Eukaryota; Metazoa; Chordata; Mammalia; Rodentia; Muridae.
GUUUUAAAGGACACCUUGGAAAAAAGGGGAGUGUUAAGACAUUUAAAAGCAAGGAUCCGUGCUGAAGUUUUCAAUGCUCUGGAUGAUGAUCGUGAACCCCGACCAUUGUUGUCUCAUGAGAACCUUCUAAUUAAUGAAUUAAUUAGGGAGUAUUUGGAAUUCAACAAAUAUAAAUACACAGCCUCUGUCCUCAUAGCAGAAUCUGGUCAACCUGUAGUUCCAUUGGACAGACAGUUUCUCAUCCGUGAACUAAAUGCCUUUGAAGAAUCAAAGGAUAACUCAAUUCCUCUGUUAUAUGGAAUUUUAGCCCAUUUCUUGCGUGGUCCUCCAGACGGAGCCCAGAAUGUGCUUCUGACAGAAUCAACACUGCACCCUGCAAACAAGCAUGUCAGCUGGAAGCCCAGCAGAAGACCAGAUGGUAGGAGCUUUUACUACUUCUCCUUUAACUUCUUUGAGUUUGUUCUCUGGAGCUUGUCUAGUUCAGCAUUAGCCUGUACUAUUUAACUCCAGAAAGCCAGUGCUUUGGAGAAAGAAAAUUUCGACAAUUUUUUUUUUUUCGGAGCUGGGGACCGAACCCAGGGCCUUGCGCUUCCUAGGCAAGCACUCUGCCACUGAGCUAAAUCCCCAGCCCCUAAAAAUUUCGACAAUUUUAAAGCCAGGUCUGAAAGACACCUCAUUUCCACAUGAGCCUAGUCUCUGGAGCAGCCUGGUUCAGCACACUGUAUAGUUUUCUUUGAAAUGAAGACGUCACUUGCCCCCUCCUCCCAACCCCCUUUCCUCCCAUCUUUCCCAGACUGAAAAAUACAAGAUUUCUACUGUACAGAGAAGCC